AGCUCCAAUAGUGUAUAUUAAAGUUGCUGCGGUUAAAAAGCUCGUAGUUGGAUUUCGUGUGUUUUCCGGGCAAAGGUCGUCGCAAGGCGUGCCUCGUUCGGUGCAUACUAGUUUUGGGUAAUGGCCCUGCGCUUCGCGGCGUGGGAUCACCGUUCCCAAUCAUUUACUUUGAAAAAAUUAGAGUGUUCAAAGCAGGCGUAAGCCAUUGAAUAUUACAGCAUGGGAUAAUAGAAUAUGACGUUGGUCUUAUUUUGUUGGUUUCUAAGGCUGAUGUAAUGAUUAAUAGGGAUAGUUGGGGUCGCUCGUAUUGAGUUGUCAGAGGUGAAAUUCUAGGAUUUACUCAAGACGAACUAAUGCGAAAGCAUUCGACAAGGAUGUUUUCA
RNAcentral lists this ribosomal RNA (383 nucleotides) under uncultured eukaryote. RNAcentral describes it as "SSU rRNA". It matches the Rfam family "Eukaryotic small subunit ribosomal RNA", at positions 587 to 972 of the family's 1831-position model. The record is from RNAcentral.